UACGAAGGGGGCUAGCGUUGCUCGGAAUUACUGGGCGGAAAGGGCGCGUAGGCGGAUGUCUAAGUUGGGGGUGAAAUCCCGGGGCUCAACCUCGGAACCGCCUUCAAUACUGGAUAUCUUGAGUUCGGGAGAGGUGAGUGGAAUGCCGAGUGUAGAGGUGAAAUGCGCAGAUAUCAGGAGGAACACCUAUUGCGAAGGCAGCUCGCUGGGACGUUACUGACGCUGAGACGCGAAAGCGUGGGGAGCAAACAGG
RNAcentral lists this ribosomal RNA (253 nucleotides) under uncultured bacterium. RNAcentral describes it as "partial 16S ribosomal RNA". It matches the Rfam family "Bacterial small subunit ribosomal RNA", at positions 524 to 776 of the family's 1533-position model. The record is from RNAcentral.